RNAcentral lists this long non-coding RNA (1509 nucleotides) under Malus domestica (apple). Its description in RNAcentral is "long non-coding RNA (MDOM_LNC000444)". The record is from RNAcentral. Lineage: Eukaryota; Viridiplantae; Streptophyta; Magnoliopsida; Rosales; Rosaceae.
GCACAUCUUUAAGGGGAACAUCAUCUACCUACAAUAGUGAAAAUUGAAAUACUGAAGGAGCAUUGGAAAUCGAUGAUGGACCGUAUACAGGAAGGAGCCCUAAGAUAGAUAGUGGAACAUAUUCAGAAUUUUUAAAUCACAGAAGAUUGAUAGAUGGAUACAUAGAUGCAGAAUAAACACAGGAGAUUGAUAGAUGGAUACAUGGAUAGAUUAUAAGUUACAAUUUGCUUGAGAAAACUUUACAUCUAUCUAUCAUAUUUAUAUUAUAUAUGUACAGAAGUUUACUCAAGCAUAUAUUAACGUUUUAGACGUAAUUUUGGGGACUGGCAUGAUUAUAGAUAAUUGCACUAGUUUACUCAAGCACAUAUUAACGUUUCAGAUUGGCAGAUUGCUUUUGAAUAGGCAGAAACAAAUAGGCAGAGACUAACUGGGCCUUGCCAUUUGAUUGGCAGAUUUGUGUGCACAGAUUAGUAGAAACAAAUUGGCAGAUUGAGUCUGCCUAUAUGUCAAUUUUUCAAUAUAAAAGGUUGAAUUUUAGCCCAAAAGCAUAAUAUGUCAAAUUUUAGUCCAAAAGCCCAAAACCAUUUUGGGAUUCUCGAUUUGUCCCGAAAUCCUGAAACUAUUUCGGGAUUCCCGAAAAUUUGGUUUGGGAUCGGUAUUGAAAUUGGGAUUCCCGAAAAUUUCGGUUUGGGAAUCGGGACAAGGGUUUCGGUAUGGGAUCCCAUACCGAACCACCCCUAAUCAACUCACAAUUUGGAAAAAAUUUCCCUAUUCAAAUUUUAUUUUAAUUGCAUUGUCGUUUAAUAAGUAUUUGUCAUGUUUUUAAAAAGAUCAUUAUAUCAAAUAAAUUAUUAAAACAUAUUGAAUUAGUGACAUAAAAAAAUCUUUCCACAAUUAAAGGUUACCUAAAAAUGCUUAUAAAAAUUAAUUUCUUGCCAUGCAAAUGAUAUUAUACAAUAAUCUACAUUGGAAAAAGAAAAAAGAAAAAGUUUAAAUUCAAGACUCAAUGAACUGAAGAAAAAGGCCCCGACUAAUACUACAGUCAGCCACUUGCAAAAAAUGGAAUUUAAUAGUUUCACUCUAGAAACGUUGUGAAGAGGUCGCACUUGGUGCGAUGGCAAGUGUUUCGCCCAUGGGCGGUAGGUCUCGGGUUCGAGACUUGGGAGCAGCCUCUCCAUAAAUGGGGGUAAGGCUAGCCGACAUUCACCUCUCACAGACCCUGCGUAAAGCGGGAGAUUUGUGCACUGGGUACGACUCUAGAAACGUUGUCAUACAAACCUUUACGUUUAAAAGGAGUGUAUAAUAAGGGUUUGUCGAAUAACGUUUUACAGAACGAUUUUCAAAGAAUUCUUUUGUAAUACAAAAACUACAAAUAGGAUUUUAUAUUUUUAUAAUUUGAGAAUGCAUGUGGUAGUUUAAAUUGAGAAUAAUAUUUUAGAAUGAAAACAUUGAAAAUGUGUCUGACAUCUAAAUCUUAAAUAUACAAUAAAUAUAUGAUUUGAUAGUAAU